GCGUUGGUGAUAUAGUGGCUAGCUUAGUUGCCUUCCAAGCAGUUGACCCGGGUUCGAUUCCCGGCCAACGCA
This is a non-coding RNA of Paramormyrops kingsleyae, 72 nucleotides long. Lineage: Eukaryota; Metazoa; Chordata; Actinopteri; Osteoglossiformes; Mormyridae. The record is from the annotation of a RefSeq genome assembly.